RNAcentral lists this ribosomal RNA (253 nucleotides) under uncultured bacterium. RNAcentral describes it as "partial 16S ribosomal RNA". It matches the Rfam family "Bacterial small subunit ribosomal RNA", at positions 524 to 776 of the family's 1533-position model. The record is from RNAcentral.
UACGUAGGGUGCAAGCGUUGUCCGGAUUUAUUGGGCGUAAAGAGCUCGUAGGCGGUCUGUCGCGUCGGAUGUGAAAACCCAGGGCUCAACCCUGGGCCUGCAUUCGAUACGGGCAGACUAGAGUACGGCAGGGGAGACUGGAAUUCCUGGUGUAGCGGUGAAAUGCGCAGAUAUCAGGAGGAACACCGGUGGCGAAGGCGGGUCUCUGGGCCGAAACUGACGCUGAGGCACGAAAGCGUGGGGAGCAAACAGG